This 254-nucleotide ribosomal RNA is filed under the name uncultured bacterium. RNAcentral describes it as "partial 16S ribosomal RNA". It matches the Rfam family "Bacterial small subunit ribosomal RNA", at positions 524 to 776 of the family's 1533-position model. The record is from RNAcentral.
UACGUAGGGUGCAAGCGUUGUCCGGAAUUAUUGGGCGUAAAGAGCUCGUAGGCGGUCUGUCGCGUCGGCUGUGAAAUCCCGAGGCUCAACCUCGGGUCUGCAGUCGAUACGGGGCAGACUAGAGUGUGGUAGGGGAGACUGGAAUUCCUGGUGUAGCGGUGGAAUGCGCAGAUAUCAGGAGGAACACCGAUGGCGAAGGCAGGUCUCUGGGCCAUUACUGACACUGAGAAGCGAAAGCAUGGGGAGCGAACAGG